RNAcentral lists this ribosomal RNA (409 nucleotides) under uncultured Methylomirabilota bacterium. RNAcentral's name for it is "bacterial SSU rRNA". It matches the Rfam family "Bacterial small subunit ribosomal RNA", at positions 1027 to 1434 of the family's 1533-position model. The record is from RNAcentral. Lineage: Bacteria; Methylomirabilota (SeqCode).
CGUGGAGACAGGUGGUGCAUGGCUGUCGUCAGCUCGUGUCGUGAGAUGUUGGGUUAAGUCCCGCAACGAGCGCAACCCUCACCUCUUGUUGCCACCAGGUCAUGCUGGGCACUCUAGAGGAACUGCCCCGGUCAACGGGGAGGAAGGCGGGGAUGACGUCAAGUCAUCAUGCCCCUUACGUCCUGGGCUACACACGUGCUACAAUGGCCGGUGCAAAGGGAUGCCACACCGCGAGGUAGAGCUAAACCCAAAAAGCCGGGUCUAAGUUCAGAUUGGAGUCUGCAACUCGACUCCAUGAAGGAGGAAUCGCUAGUAAUCGCGUAUCAGCACGACGCGGUGAAUACGUUCCCGGGCCUUGUACACACCGCCCGUCACACCACGAAAGCCCGCUGUACUCGAAGUCGCUGAG